ACGGGUGAGUAACGCGUGGGAAUCUACCUUUUGCUACGGAAUAACUCAGGGAAACUUGUGCUAAUACCGUAUGUGCCCUUUUGGGGAAAGAUUUAUCGGCAAAGGAUGAGCCCGCGUUGGAUUAGCUAGUUGGUGAGGUAAAGGCUCACCAAGGCGACGAUCCAUAGCUGGUCUGAGAGGAUGAUCAGCCACACUGGGACUGAGACACGGCCCAGACUCCUACGGGAGGCAGCAGUGGGGAAUAUUGGACAAUGGGCGCAAGCCUGAUCCAGCCAUGCCGCGUGAGUGAUGACGGUCUUAGGAUUGUAAAGCUCUUUCACCGGUGAAGAUAAUGACGGUAACCGGAGAAGAAGCCCCGGCUAACUUCGUGCCAGCAGCCGCGGUAAUACGAAGGGGGCUAGCGUUGUUCGGAUUUACUGGGCGUAAAGCGCACGUAGGCGGACUUUUAAGUCAGGGGUGAAAUCCCGGGGCUCAACCCCGGAACUGCCUUUGAUACUGGAAGUCUUGAGUAUGGAAGAGGUGAGUGGAAUUCCGAGUGUAGAGGUGAAAUUCGUAGA
This 557-nucleotide ribosomal RNA is filed under the name uncultured bacterium. RNAcentral describes it as "bacterial SSU rRNA". It matches the Rfam family "Bacterial small subunit ribosomal RNA", at positions 102 to 694 of the family's 1533-position model. The record is from RNAcentral.